AGUUUGAUCCUGGCUCAGGAUGAACGCUGGCGGCGUGCUUAACACAUGCAAGUCGAACGAUGAUCCCCAGCUUGCUGGGGGGAUUAGUGGCGAACGGGUGAGUAACACGUGAGUAACCUGCCCUUGACUCUGGGAUAAGCCUGGGAAACUGGGUCUAAUACCGGAUACGACCAUCUGACGCAUGUCAUGGUGGUGGAAAGCUUUUGCGGUUUUGGAUGGACUCGCGGCCUAUCAGCUUGUUGGUGGGGUAAUGGCCUACCAAGGCGACGACGGGUAGCCGGCCUGAGAGGGUGACCGGCCACACUGGGACUGAGACACGGCCCAGACUCCUACGGGAGGCAGCAGUGGGGAAUAUUGCACAAUGGGCGGAAGCCUGAUGCAGCGACGCCGCGUGAGGGAUGACGGCCUUCGGGUUGUAAACCUCUUUCAGUAGGGAAGAAGCGAAAGUGACGGUACCUGCAGAAGAAGCGCCGGCUAACUACGUGCCAGCAGCCGCGGUAAUACGUAGGGCGCAAGCGUUAUCCGGAAUUAUUGGGCGUAAAGAGCUCGUAGGCGGUUUGUCGCGUCUGCUGUGAAAGACCGGGGCUCAACUCCGGUUCUGCAGUGGGUACGGGCAGACUAGAGUGAUGUAGGGGAGACUGGAAUUCCUGGUGUAGCGGUGAAAUGCGCAGAUAUCAGGAGGAACACCGAUGGCGAAGGCAGGUCUCUGGGCAUUAACUGACGCUGAGGAGCGAAAGCAUGGGGAGCGAACAGGAUUAGAUACCCUGGUAGUCCAUGCCGUAAACGUUGGGCACUAGGUGUGGGGGACAUUCCACGUUUUCCGCGCCGUAGCUAACGCAUUAAGUGCCCCGCCUGGGGAGUACGGCCGCAAGGCUAAAACUCAAAGGAAUUGACGG
This 896-nucleotide ribosomal RNA is filed under the name uncultured bacterium. RNAcentral describes it as "bacterial SSU rRNA". It matches the Rfam family "Bacterial small subunit ribosomal RNA", at positions 10 to 916 of the family's 1533-position model. The record is from RNAcentral.